This 497-nucleotide ribosomal RNA is filed under the name uncultured bacterium. RNAcentral's name for it is "partial 16S ribosomal RNA". It matches the Rfam family "Bacterial small subunit ribosomal RNA", at positions 28 to 507 of the family's 1533-position model. The record is from RNAcentral.
GACGAACGCUGGCGGCGUGCCUAAUACAUGCAAGUUGAGCGCUGACGGUUGGUACUUGUACCAACUGGAUGAGCAGCGAACGGGUGAGUAACGCGUGGGGAAUCUGCCUUUGAGCGGGGGACAACAUUUGGAAACGAAUGCUAAUACCGCAUAAAAACUUUAAACACAAGUUUUAAGUUUGAAAGAUGCAAUUGCAUCACUCAAAGAUGAUCCCGCGUUGUAUUAGCUAGUUGGUGAGGUAAAGGCUUACCAAGGCGAUGAUACAUAGCCGACCUGAGAGGGUGAGCGGCCACAUUGGGACUGGGACACGGCCCAAACUCCUACGGGAGGCAGCAGUAGGGAAUCUUCGGCAAUGGACGAAAGUCUGACCGAGCAACGCCGCGUGAGAGAAGAAGGUUUUCGGAUCGUAAAACUCUGUUGGUAGAGAAGAACGUUGGUGAGAGUGGAAAGCUCAUCAAGUGACGGUAACUACCCAGAAAGGGACGGCUAACUACGUG